This 497-nucleotide ribosomal RNA is filed under the name uncultured bacterium. RNAcentral's name for it is "partial 16S ribosomal RNA". It matches the Rfam family "Bacterial small subunit ribosomal RNA", at positions 28 to 507 of the family's 1533-position model. The record is from RNAcentral.
GACGAACGCUGGCGGCGUGCCUAAUACAUGCAAGUUGAGCGCUGAAGGUUGGUACUUGUACCAACUGGAUGAGCAGCGAACGGGUGAGUAACGCGUGGGGAAUCUGCCUUUGAGCGGGGGACAACAUUUGGAAACGAAUGCUAAUACCGCGUAAAAACUUUAAACACAAGUUUUAAGUUUGAAAGAUGCAAUUGCAUCACUCAAAGAUGAUCCCGCGUUGUAUUAGCUAGUUGGUGAGGUAAAGGCUCACCAAGGCGAUGAUACAUAGCCGACCUGAGAGGGUGAUCGGCCACAUUGGGACUGAGACACGGCCCAAACUCCUACGGGAGGCAGCAGUAGGGAAUCUUCGGCAAUGGACGAAAGUCUGACCGAGCAACGCCGCGUGAGUGAAGAAGGGUUUCGGAUCGUAAAACUCUGUUGGUAGAGAAGAACGUUGGUGAGAGUGGAAAGCUCAUCAAGUGACGGUAACUACCCAGAAAGGGACGGCUAACUACGUG